GUCAAUAACAACGGAUUCUUCAAAUUCUGAAGAUUGCACGGCCUAUGUGCCACACCAUUUGGAAGAAAAGCUAAACACAACUUGUUGUGUGUUAUCGCCUUUCGUACCUCUAUUGUGAGUAUUACUGCAUCUUAUUGUUGAGUAUUUUUGAGCUUACUAACUAAUGAUUCAUGUGCAACAACUUGUUUUUGCUAGAAACCCAACUUACGCACCAAGCGUGAUGAAUAUCGUUGAAUUGUGAUUUCCUUUUGUGAUCCUCAUUGACUGGUUAGUCCCUAUUUGAUGCAUUACCAAUUUACCAUUUGAAUGCUUUGAAGUUCUGCUAUGAAGCAAACAUGUACACCACACUUGACUUUGUAUUUUUGUUUAAAUUUGUGUAUUUAGAAAUUAGAAGGCAUGAUUAUAGAAGUUUCAAUCAAUUCUAUCUUUUGGUCCUUUUAUAUAUGUGGAUUCAUAUUUCAUAUUUUAGCUUUCCGUUGGUAUGUAGUUGGAUCGAUGCUUCGCCUCAUCCGUGCUCCUUGGAAACCUUGACUCUUCAAUAGAUUAGAUUCAUCUUAAUUUAAGAAAAGUGGUACUUUCUCUUUGCCUUACUGUCUUUUCUCAGCGGAUCAGCCACAUAGUCCGAAGUAAGGUUAGUGACGGGAACUUAGCUAUCUUUUGGUCAGGUUUUCCGGGGUUGGUUCCUCUACUAGAAUAGGUCCCGAACGCCUCACUUCUCUUACUUUCGGUGCUUAUCUUCAAUUAGAGAUGGUGACAUUGUAUAUUUGUUAGUCUUGUUUGAAAAUGUCUUGCCUUAUCCAUUAUAUGUUGGGAAAUUUGGAAACAAAAUUGUGAGUGGAAAUACGAAGAAAGAAAGAAGUUCAGUGUGCAUAUCAUGAUCAAGCAAGCAGAAAGAAACAUUUUGAGUGUCAUGUCUCAAGCCUUUCCUUCUAAUAACUGGACAUUACCAAAAAAAGAAAAAAAGAAGAUUGACGAAAAAAAAAGUAUCACACGCUUUUACCUGAAUAUCAAAUACUUGGACAACAUAUUGUAAAGUACCACUUAGCUAGCCAUAAAUAUUUAUUGCUUGUGUUUAGUAUCAUAUGCACCAGAAUGUGUCUGUAAUUUCUUAUCCAGGAUACAAAAUUAGUUUCCCCAAAGUAAGGAUGAGAGUAUAAAGAUUGAUUGUACUAUAUCCUGACUGCCUGUUCAAGUACUUUAAUCACUUUAGAUAUCAUGUUCAGUUUUUUAAAAAAAAUAUAGUGUAAUGUCUGAAAUUAUUCAUGUUCCAACUACAUGUUCAUAUGAAAAAUGGUGCUUAGGAUCAUAUCUAUACUUUAAUAUAUUAUUAUUAUUAUUUUUUAAUUGUUAUUGUAGCUGGUGGAGGAGUGAAGAAAUCAAAAUUGCUAGAUACAUGAACAAUUUUUUUCUCUUGUAAAAGUAUAUUGAUAUGUUUGAAUAAAAUAAUGUUUCACUAUUUUGAAUAAUAUUAUUGAACAUUUAUUAAAUUAUUUCUCUAAUAUUACAUUUAUUACACAAUUUAAGAUGCUUUGCUACAAUUGUCUAUACAUAUCAUGCCAAAAAUAAAUUGUCAGCUACAUUAUAUGAAUUAUUGUGGCUAGUAAUGUUUGUGACAAAUUAUUUUUAAUUAGUAGUUGUAAUUCUUUUUUAAGUUUGUAGCUAAACAUACAUAUAUUUGCCACACAAAUGUUAGUAUGUAUCCACCUAAUUGCUCGGACUCGGGUGCGGGUGUCCGAUACGGGUGUGAAUCUAGAGUUCGGAUCCAUCAUGAUCUAAUUUUUAAGAUUCGGGGAUAUGGAUCCAUGUAUGGAUACGGGUACGGGGAUUUGCCUAAAAAUAAUUAAAAUAUCUAAAAAUAGAAUUAUAAAACUUAUAUUAUGAGAUAAGUAUUAUGUAGAAAACUUGAGGAGAAUCCUGGAAGGAGAUUAAAGGAAACAGAGUGACAUGGAAAUAUUUAUAUCAAAGGUAUUUCAUUUUCUUCAAUUUCACCUUAACUUUUGUAUUGGUUAUAGAAAUCAUUAAAACUAUCUCGACUUUCCCCAUCGAUUUUGGUCAAAGUACCCAAAAUUGGUUGACCAAAUCAGACAUGGAUCCCACACCCACACCCACACCCAUGUCGUGUCGACACGGGUGCGGCACAAAAAGUGAAGAGUCCGAGCAACUUAGGUAGGAAGCAACUUUGAUACAGGAUAAUGUUAUGAAAAGGGGGAUAACCUUAUGUUCUAGGUGCUUUCUAUGUGGAGAAACAUCAGAAAUUGUUAACCAUCUUUUACUACACUGCAAAUUUACUCAACAGUUAUGGAGGGUAUUCUUGAGUCUCAAAGGACAUAUCUUGGGCUAUGCCUAGGAGAAUUACUGAAGCCCUAAAAUGUUGGGAGGAGGCAGGUGUGUUAGCUAAAGACAGAACUAGAUGGAGAAUUAUCCCUGCUUCAAUAUGGUGGGCAACCUGGAAAGAGAGAAAUUCUAGGUGUUUUGAUUACCAACUUGAAUUAUACAUCAAGCUUAUACUUCAUGCUCUCUACACCAGUAAUAAUGAAUGAAUUUGAGGACUUGCACAGUUUUUUCAUUGCUGAGCUUUAUUACUAUUGCUUUUUGCAUGUCUUUGAAAAUUAAAGUAUCUGCAAAAUUCUCUUGUUUUGUGGAAUAUCAUAUUAUCUAAUGCAUUAGUAGAUAAAAUUCUACAUAGGCCAACUACACAUGUGAUCCCUGAGUUUGUCCGACUUUUAAAAAAAUAAAUUUACAAAUUGCACUACUGGGUUUAUGUGUGCUGAUCUUAUAAAUUUACAUUAACAUCUUUACUAUUUUUCUUGUCAUAUUAUAACUAUUUUGGUACAGUGUAACAAUGCGGAAGCCAAGGCACACUUCAUCCUCAAAAAAAGGCGUGGAA
RNAcentral lists this long non-coding RNA (2887 nucleotides) under Solanum tuberosum (potato). RNAcentral's name for it is "long non-coding RNA (STUB_LNC006432)". Lineage: Eukaryota; Viridiplantae; Streptophyta; Magnoliopsida; Solanales; Solanaceae. The record is from RNAcentral.